This 266-nucleotide long non-coding RNA is filed under the name Phoenix dactylifera (date palm). Its description in RNAcentral is "long non-coding RNA (PDAC_LNC016443)". Lineage: Eukaryota; Viridiplantae; Streptophyta; Magnoliopsida; Arecales; Arecaceae. The record is from RNAcentral.
AGAAUUUUUCAUUGAUAAUAAGAAUUUAAACAAGCUCCAAAAAAUUAGAAGAGUAAGAACAACAAAUGCCCUGUUAGAUUGCUAGGGCUUCAUCCAGCCCUAGUCUAGAUGUUUAGCUACGCAUGGCUUCCGGACGGCCUUCCAUCUUUAUAUAAAAAUUCUUCUGCUUCCGCUAUUUCCAAAAUACCCAAAAUAUUCUCUCCCACCUCCUUUCUUUUCUUCUUUUUCUCCCUAACAGAGGCCCCUUUGGUAGAGGAGUUCCCCCU